Molecule: ribosomal RNA, 253 nt
Filed under: uncultured bacterium
Lineage: Bacteria
Description: partial 16S ribosomal RNA
Rfam family: Bacterial small subunit ribosomal RNA
Source: RNAcentral
UACAGAGGGGGCAAGCGUUAUUCGGAAUUAUUGGGCGUAAAGGGCGCGUAGGCGGCCAUUCAAGUGACGGGUGAAAGCCCUCGGCUUAACCGAGGAACUGCCUGUCAGACUGGAUGGCUUGAGACCGGGAGAGGUGAGUGGAAUUCCCAGUGUAGCGGUGAAAUGCGCAGAUAUCAGGAGGAACACCGGUGGCGAAGGCGGGUCUCUGGGCCGAUACUGACGCUGAGGAGCGAAAGCGUGGGGAGCGAACAGG